RNAcentral lists this ribosomal RNA (254 nucleotides) under uncultured bacterium. Its description in RNAcentral is "partial 16S ribosomal RNA". It matches the Rfam family "Bacterial small subunit ribosomal RNA", at positions 524 to 776 of the family's 1533-position model. The record is from RNAcentral.
UACAGAGGUGCCAAGCGUUAGGCGGAAUCACUGGGCUUAAAGCGCGUGUAGGGGAGUCGUUAAGUGUCCGCGUGAAAUCCCACGGCUCAACCGUGGAACUGCCGGGCAUACUGGCGAUCUUGAGGCAUUCAGGGGCGAGCGGAACAAGUGGUGGAGCGGUGAAAUGCGUAGAUAUCACUUGGAACGCCAAUGGUGAAAACAGCUCGCUGGGAAUGAUCUGACACUGAGACGCGAAAGCCAGGGGAGCGAACGGG